GACGAACGCUGGCGGCGUGCUUAACACAUGCAAGUCGAACGGAAAGGCCCUGCUUUUGUGGGGUGCUCGAGUGGCGAACGGGUGAGUAACACGUGAGUAACCUGCCCCUGACUUUGGGAUAACUUCAGGAAACUGGGGCUAAUACCGGAUAGGAGCUCCUGCUGCAUGGUGGGGGUUGGAAAGUUUCGGCGGUUGGGGAUGGACUCGCGGCUUAUCAGCUUGUUGGUGGGGUAGUGGCUUACCAAGGCUUUGACGGGUAGCCGGCCUGAGAGGGUGACCGGCCACAUUGGGACUGAGAUACGGCCCAGACUCCUACGGGAGGCAGCGGUGGGGAAUAUUGCACAAUGGGCGGAAGCCUGAUGCAGCAACGCCGCGUGCGGGAUGACGGCCUUCGGGUUGUAAACCGCUUUCGCCUGUGACGAAGCGUGAGUGACGGUAAUGGGUAAAGAAGCACCGGCUAACUACGUG
RNAcentral lists this ribosomal RNA (468 nucleotides) under uncultured bacterium. RNAcentral describes it as "partial 16S ribosomal RNA". It matches the Rfam family "Bacterial small subunit ribosomal RNA", at positions 28 to 507 of the family's 1533-position model. The record is from RNAcentral.